Molecule: long non-coding RNA, 2001 nt
Organism: Sycon ciliatum
Lineage: Eukaryota; Metazoa; Porifera; Calcarea; Leucosolenida; Sycettidae
Exons: 6
Source: RefSeq, a predicted model, not a curated record
GCGCGCUGGAGCUCCGGAGCUGCAUGCAGCAAAUGCGAAGCGCGACACACGAGCGCGAACAAACAGUGUCACGUGUGUGUCGAAUCUGACCGUCGAUUAUUUAUUAAUUUUCGUUCUACUCGACAAUUCCAAAAAUCAGUGCCAUUCAUUGGCUUUAGCUUUGCCCUUGAACUUGAAAUCUCGUACCUUAUUCUUUCUUGGGGACUGGUGUUGGAUAUUGAACGGGCGGAGUGACCGCCGGGAUGAUGGAUGAAGGAGAUGAUGGCCUAAUCUUGGCUGCGCGCAUUCUCAUUUUCGCGUGGCCUGCCACUAGUGUUUCGCAGAUUCACAAAGGGUGUCACAGGCAUAGCUGGAGGAAGAAAGGUUUUCUGGCUGAUUCCUCCGACCCCAAUCAAUCUUCAGAUCUAUGAGCAGUGGGUGUUGUCCGGUAAACAGCAGGAUAUAUUCCUGGGUGACAUGGUCGAGACGUGUGCCCGCGUCGAAUUGAAACCAGGCUGGACCUUUGUCAUUCCUACUGGUUGGAUUCAUGCAGUUCACACUCCUGUGGAUUGGUUAGUGUUUGGUGGAAACUUUCUGCACAGUUUCAACAUAAGCGGUCAGCUUGCCGUGGCGCACAUUGAAGAAACUACUAAGAUACGGACGCAGCGAAGCUCUCUCCUGCGCCCGCAUGCGCCGAGAUCCCACUGCUGUCAACGGAUGACACUGCAGCCCAGUCGCCAGCGACGGCGGCAGCUGCUGCUGCUGCUGCUUCGUCAGGAGAUGGGAACAGCUCACAAGGCGGCAAGCCACCUCCAUAACCGCCAUCCUGCCUGCUCUCGGACAUGGCCUGUCUCAGCUCGUAUGAGAUUGAUGGCUUGCGACGGCUGCUGGCCGAGCUGAACGUUUCCACGACGAUGGUGAGGGCGUGUCCCAAGGAGCUGGGGGAUCCUGGGGAGCUCAUGUCGACCGUGGAGGUAAGUUGUCGUGUGUGAUGUGUGGGUAAAACCGAAGUUACCGAAAAUAAAUCUCCACCUAAAUUUUCCGGUUUUACAGUAGCCUAUCUUCAGGGACAUACAUAUGGGACAUACAUAACUAUUGGCGUAGAUUUGCUUAAUCGUUAUGCCUUGUAUUCUCUUGUCAAAUGUACACCGUAGAUUCUGUUGAACGAGUAUGAAAGCCAGUAUUCUCCUCUGCAAUGUACAAGCAUUUUCCUGUGCAAUGUAUGCUGUAUAUUCUGUUGAAUGAGUAUGAAUUCUCCUGUGCAACGUGCGCUGUAGAUUCUGUUGAACGAGUAUGAAAGCCGGUUUCGCGAGGACAAGGCCACUGGACAUUUUAUGCUCAUACCGGGUAUACAAUCUGAGAAUCUGCGUGUGUCGCCCGCACCAAUACCUGACAACAUUGUGGAAAUAGUUGCAGUUGAAACAGAGAUUGUAUGCAAGUCCUCAGCUGCUACUGCAUCUCCAAAAAAGACAGCUGGUAUAUCAUCUCGUGACGACCACAUUGAAGUCUGAAUUUGAAGUGCGAAGAUGCUUCAGCAACCACAUCGUACUUUUCCAUUGCUUUCAUUGUGCUUCUACUGUGCAUGUGUGUAACUUGUGGGGUAUACAUGUGAUGACAUUGUAUGCUGGCGACACGGUCAGAUUUUGUCCAUGCGUGUAACGUACACCUGCAUGUUAUGCAUCGAAAAGGAUCUGCCACUUGCGAUCCUGGGAAAAGUAUCACGUUAGCUUUGUCUUGUGUGGGCUGUACCAGAUUGCUGUUCACUUUUCUAUCUGUUGGAUAUGUGACUUUCUGCAAGUCUCUGGUGUAUGGUGGCCACUUCUUUGCUUGUCACUUUGUAUGAUAUUACAUUCUGUAUUUGCUGCUUCCAUGGCGUGGUCUGCAAACUGCAAUCCUUGGGCAAAUGUCAUGUUUGCUAUGUUGUGCUUUGGCCGUCAGUUUGUCUACACGUUGUAGUUGAAUUAUUUUGCUCCACAACUGACUUCCUGAAGUACGGUGGCCACUGCUUUGCAUGGCAUUUUA